This is a long non-coding RNA of Harpegnathos saltator (Jerdon's jumping ant), 1891 nucleotides long. RefSeq lists it as uncharacterized. The transcript is spliced from 3 exons. The record is from RefSeq and is a predicted model, not a curated record. NCBI's taxonomy places the organism in Eukaryota, Metazoa, Arthropoda, Insecta, Hymenoptera, Formicidae.
GAUCGCUGAGUUUAAAAUACACUCUCGACGCGUCGGACCGAUAUGUUAACGAAAGUCGUAAAAUCGAGAACAACGCGAGUGGCUGGAUUAUUGUCGAAAUCGUACGGUUAUUUAUCACCACUGGUGAUAAAUCUACACGUCAAAAUCGUUCAGUAUUCGUUAAAUUCGAAACAAGAACCUCUCCGCAGGUAAAAAUGCAUACCAUCUUUGCGCUUUUCGUUAUAACGAGCGGCUUCAUCACGGAGAUGUGUGCCAACUAUUUAAGGGACAGAUUACCAAAUCUACAUACAUGUCCGAAAUCGCGACUCCAAGCAUGCUUACCGCGAAGCUUGGAUUCGAUGAGGCCUUACUUAGCGCAGAGUGUUCCGUAACUAAAUAUAGAUUCUUUCGAAAUUCCGUAAUUAAGUAUACCUUCUUUCGAGCCAUAUUAUACGCAAUUUUAUAAGAUGACCUUCGAAAACCAGUAUAUCCCUAUGAUAAAGUUUAGUGAUACAUAUAUCAACGGUAUAUCAAACUUCACGAUAACUAGAGUCAGAGUUGUCGAGGAUCAUUAUAUUGAGUUUCUGGCGCACUUUCCAUUCGUCAGUGUGUCCACAAGUUCAAUGCAUACGUCUCAUAUGCGUCUCCUACGCUUAUUAAAAAUAGCAGAUACAGAUUAAAUAGCAAUUUUACGAACGUCGUUGCUGAAAUUAUUAUACGAGGCAGGCAUUUUGAGGACGAAGAACAAUAUUUUUACGUGAACAACGUCACCGUGGCAAUCUUAAAGUUUGAAGGGAUGAAGACUAAUAAACAACAAAGAGGUACACCCGAAAACGUAACGCAGUUGGCAAAUGAUUAUCUUGCACUUGAGUGGGAUCCAUUGACUUACGAAAUAAUUUAUAACAUCAAAAACAUUGCAGCUGAGCUCAUCCAGACCAUUUGGAAUAGGAUUUACACGAAUUUCCCAACUGUUAUGUUAACGUCUCGUUAAAACGCAUCGUCUUGAUUUUAUUGUCAUGAUGAAGAGAUUAAUCAUUUUAUAAUGAGUGUAACUUGCUAGCACAAUUAGUUGUGCAUUACUUAUUUAUUAUUUUGAUACGGAGAUUCGUAUACGCUGCUUUAGAAAAUGGCUUUUUCUUCCAAUGGAGUUCGGUGCGCAUCAAAUGCGAACGAAUGCUCGCGGGUUUGCGGUUGUGACAGAACUCGCAUGAUAGUACACUAUGCACACAGUGCCUCUUUAUUGUACUUUCAUUCAAUGGAUAAAAGUAUGAUAAAAAUACCUAUGUUCCACGCGUUUUCUUCGUUAUACUUGCAAUGUUAGAUAUCUCGUAUACCAUCACUUCGGCUUUCGUCAUAACUGAUGAAGCUCGCGAGUUGUCGCUUGUAAUUAGAACCAUUUCGCGUUACCAAUCUUAUCGGUAAUAAUAUAUAUAUAGAUCCUUCCUAGACCUAAAGAUUCUACGCUAAAGGACCUUACGCUUUGUAAAUUUGGAUAUACGAAAUACGAUUGUAAACUUGGAACUGAAACAAUCUGGACAAUUUUUUUUCGGAGCAUUUUUCAACACCAGUCAAUGGUUCAAUAAGACAAAUUAUUUUUUAGCGGUCCAAAAAUAAAUUCUUUCAUUGAAGCAUCAGCUGUAUCUUAAACAACAUCCAGAACAAUUUUGUCCUGACUGUAAAAUAAAUUCGAGUAUAUAAUUAUCCGGAAAGUACGCGUAUACUUGAGAAUUUCUAGAAAGAAAAGAAUACGUGCAAUAAGCGAGAUAUUUGUUUUCCUCGCAGAGAAAAAAAUCCAUGUAAGAGCGUUUGCAAUAUUGCGUUUGCGAUAUUUUUUCUUCGCGUGAAUAACGGCGCUUAGAUUAUACAAAUUUAUUUGUAAAUUUAACCAACGCAAUAAAGAGUUAUGCACGUA